UCCCUGGUGGUCCAGUGGUUAAGACUCCACACUUCCACUGCAGGGGCCCGAGUUUGAACCUUGGUUGGGGAA
This 72-nucleotide transfer RNA is filed under the name Bos taurus (domestic cattle). It matches the Rfam family "tRNA". From Rfam's summary of the family: Transfer RNA (tRNA) molecules are approximately 80 nucleotides in length. The record is from Rfam by way of RNAcentral. Lineage: Eukaryota; Metazoa; Chordata; Mammalia; Artiodactyla; Bovidae. RNAcentral also lists the same sequence under 1 other name.